Molecule: ribosomal RNA, 468 nt
Filed under: uncultured bacterium
Lineage: Bacteria
Description: partial 16S ribosomal RNA
Rfam family: Bacterial small subunit ribosomal RNA
Source: RNAcentral
GACGAACGCUGGCGGCGUGCUUAACACAUGCGAGUCGAACGGAAAGGCCCUGCUUUUGUUGGGUGCUCGAGUGGCGAACGGAUGAGUAACACGUGAGUAACCUGCCCUUGACUUUGGGAUAACUUCAGGACACUGGGGCUAAUACCGGAUAGGAGCUCCUGCUGCUUGGUGGGGGUUGGAAAGUUUCGGCGGUUGGGGCUGGACUCGCGGCGUAUCAGCUUGUUGGUGGGGUAGUGGCUGACCAAGGCUUUGACGGGUAGCCGGCCUGAGAGGGUGACCGGCAACAUUGGGACUGAGAUGCGGCGCAGACUCCGACGGGAGGCAGCAGUGGGGAAUAUUGUACAAUGGGCGGAAGCCGGAUGCAGCAACGCCGCGUGCGGGAUGACGGCCUUCGGGUUGUAAACCGCUUUCGCCUGUGACGAAGCGUGAGUGACGGUAAUGGGUAAAGAAGCACCGGCUAACUACGUG